GGAGUUAUUACAUAAAUCAGAGUUUUUGGAGUAGCAAAUAAAGUUCACAAAUUAAAGUGCAGCGGAUAAUCGAUGUCGUCGGUAACGAGGAAAUGGGCAAGGCCUAGCCCACUACUCCUCAUGCUCCUCUCCUACCGGAGCAACAUCCCACUCGACCGUCCAACCCGGUGGCAGGGUGGUAGGCCAAGUCACACCAUCAACUACAUCCUGCAUGGUACCUGCAAAAAUGGUGCCACAAGCAAGGCUGAGUAUACUAAUACUCAGCUAGACUUAACCGGUGUGAGGAGUCUACUCCUCUACCUCUAGACUAUGCAGCUGUUUGGCUGAGGGGUUUGGUUUGCCAAAAGCACUAGCUGUUUCUAAAAUCAACUUUUAGCUUUUCAAUUUCUACCAUCAUUAUCUUAGCUAGAUUGGCUCCUUCUAAGCAUACAUGGUAACAAGCAAUUAGUUCAAUCAACAAGUUAUCUCAUGUAAUCCACAUUUCACUUCUUACUCGAUGCAGUACAAGGAAUCAAGCAGUCUCAUUAGCUGCGAGAAGCAGACGAUUCGAAUCGAGUUUUAACCUUGCAAGGUAAACCUAAACACACGGCAUGUCAGGGUACUCCGACCCCACACAUGACAACCGUCCCCAUCGAUUCCCCGUUCGCGUCCAGGCCUCACCGCCUUGGCAUACAAUGCCCCACUGACCCCGGCUGCCGCCGUGCAGUGACCGCACUUGUACCCACCAUAGCUAGCAUGGGAGACCCUGUCUCAGGUCGCAUGAGGGAUAAAGUCCGCGCCCGGCUUCACUCAGGUACUAGGUUUACCGGUUACCAUUUUUCCCGGCAUGUGCUUAGUACGUUCAAAGGCUUGACUCAGGUAUCCACACAUUAAUCCUUAAUUCAUUUUUCCCGUCUCAUGGACAAGGCAUCCUCCCUGGAUCCAAGUCCAUAGACCAACAUAUAUCCCAUUAUCAAGAUGAAUACAAUCAAUUCCUGACCUCGCGCGAGUGCUAGAAAAAUCACUCGACUUCUACCGAGAUCCUGAUUAGCAAGCAGCUACUCGACCUAGCAUACUAGUAUUCAUCUCAAAAAGGAGUCCUAAGUUCAUGCAACUAGAGGUUUCAAGCAACUCCUACACUUAAGUGCACAUUACAGUCCUACAAGCAUUAAGUGUAGUAAAGUAGCAUAUAUUAACAUGGUUAUGCAUAAAACCGGGGCUUGCCUUCAAUUGCUGGGGCUGCGGGGAGAUCCUCAAUAGCAGCCUCUGAAGCCUGCUCCUGGUCCUCCUCUUGGACAGGUCCUUGCUCGGGGAUGAGCACGUACUCUCCGUCGGCAAGAUUACAAUCUAAUGAAUGCAAUGCGUAAGAUAUAUGCAUGAUACAAUAUGUGCUUUAGAAUUUACAACUUUUAAAAAAUGUAGGGUCUUUAGAAUUUAAGCAAGUUAACCUUACUUAUGUAAAACCUUUUAGUGGUAUACUUGGUAAAUUGGGUUAGUUUUAAUGGGAUGAGGUUUAUUCCUCCUUUUCUUUUCUUUUAUUCCUUUUUAAUGUUUUGGAGUAGGUUUGAACUACAAGUUGCUUUUAUAGAAUUCCAAAAAUUCUGCAAAAAUUACAGGGGCUUGUUACUGGUGUAUGAUUCUCUGUCUCAAAAUUUGGGGUUCAGAAAGUGAAUGGUUUUCUCUGGACAAAAUUGCCAAAUCUUAAGGCAGAAGGGGUACUUUGAACUACAACUAUUAUUUAACAGUGGGUAAUUCUUUAAAACUUAUUUUUGCUGGCUUUUAGGUGUCAUAACAUGACUUGAUACAAAUUUCUAGUCAUUAAUACCUUUUAAUUCUUUUCCUAUGGUUUUCUUAAGGUUUCUAGCCAAAGGGGUGCUUUCUACUACCACUAUGUUUGAAAAACAUCAAACAACAGAGUUCUUAUUUUUUCUUAGCUAGUAUUUUGUGCAAGAGCAAUCAUUCUGGAGUUUGGUUUCUUUUUGCUUAAGGGAAGGGGUGGUUUGCAUUAUUUAAGUCAAAUGGCCUUUCUCACAAAUUGCUAGCAAAAGGCAUGGGUUCACUUCUUUUUCAUGGGUUUGUAUUUUUCUCUGGUGGUUUAUCUCAUCAUGGACUUAGCUAAUUUUUGGUUGCCCAUUAUCUCAUUAUUUGAGGUUGUUUAUGAUUUAUUGGGAAAAUGCCUUAUUACCACUUUGUAUUUAUUUUCCUUACUUAAAAAGUUAGGCUGGGGUGCUCUGUAUUUUUGUAGUGGGGCUCUGGUGGUUAUAAGUUCACUGGAUUUUUGUUAACCAUUUUGGUUAUGGUUUUGCAAUUUUAAUAAUUGAUUUUCAGUCUACAUAAGGCUGAUUAAAGCAUCUUAAUUAGAAACUGGUCCUAAUUAAUGGUCUCUGCAUUUUUCCUAGGUUCUUGGUUGCAUAAGUAAACUAGGAAAAAUAUUACUAAUCAUUGUUCAACAUUUUCUAAUGCUUUUCUGAUUUUCUCUAAGUUGUGGACAAAAUGGCUUUAAAUGAACAACUACAUCAUAAUCUCUAAUGCUGGGGAUUCUACUAUUUUUAAACAAUGUCUAAUUAGGGUAUAAGCAUCUACAAAUUUUCUUAAGCUCAGUACAGAAGAAAAACUAAUUUUCCUUAAUUAAACAAGGUUUAGGGGGUUUCUGUUUUUAAUUUUAAGCUCUAAAAUUUAGAACAGAAAGCAUAUGGUUCAAUAAUUUUAAAUGAUAGAUCAUAAUAUUCCAGAGCUAGCAAAAUUGGUUUGACAGCUUUUCAUUAAGAUUUCAUCAAGUUAUGAAUUUUCUAAGUUCUUUGGUUAUUUAAAAAGAAUAACAGAAUUGAUAAAAGGGAAAAACCACUUUGCACUGGGGUCCCUGGCGGUUUUUCUAAGUUUUCCUCGCGAAUCAGUCCUUAGGUUACUAUUCAUAUGAGUCGCUGACAUUACAGAAAACCCCUCGGGUUCUACAGAACCUAACCCGAGGUCCUUCUUCUACCUCAAACAGUAGUCGUGGCGAAGAAAAGGGCGGAGGGGCUUACCGGCGGCGAGACUGUUCCGGUGAAGUGGUCGAGGGCGAAGGGGAGGUCGCGGGGAUCACAACGGUGUGCGGAACGUCAACGGAGAUGGCCGGAGUUGGUCGGUCCACGCGCGCAGGCGGGGAUGCUCGUCGGCGGCGAGGAGACCGGCCUGGUCACGGCGAGAUAGUUCAAUCAAAAGGGUCAGGGAGAUCCACGGGAUGCCAGAGAAGACAUGAGCGAAAGGAAUUGGGCGGAGACUCACUGGAUAGCUCGGUCCACGCGCGGCGGCGGAAGACCGAAGUCCGGUGAGGUUGAUCUCGGGCCUCCGGUGAAGUCCGGUCGGGUCCGAGGGCUUGGCGAGCUUCACGAGCUACUGGCGGAGCUAGCCGAAGCACAGGUUGGGCUGGAGGGCGGCUGGAGUGGGCUGGCCACGGCGGCCGUAGCUCUGGCGGCAAUGGCGGGCGGAAAUACGCUCGCCGGAGCUAAGGAACGGUGGCUGGCCGAUGAGGGUGAGUGCGGGGCGAAGAGAGGUGCGCCCGGGGAGGCUUUAUAGGCGCGGGCGGGCACGACCGAGGGCGUGGGCGCGCGGCGGACUUGACCGGACGCCGGGGCGAGCGCGCGCGCGGGUUGGGCGAGCUCUGGCGUGCCGACCAGGGUCGAACACGUGUGCCCGUGCGUUCUGCCCAAGCUCUGGCGCGUGUGGUCGCUCAUCCGAGCCUGCUCUCGCCUGGGUCAGUGCACAAAACCUCUUCUCCUCCCUACAAGCUACCAUUCUUGUGUGGAGGUCAUAGGAUUUUGCCUACUGGUUGCAGAGAUAUGGAGCCAGGAAAUCUGGUCUGUCUCCCUGCCCAAACCCGAGGCAAAUCCCACGUUUUGUCGUGUCUAGGGCUCGCGUCCCAAUGCCAUCUUCUGGCACACGACAGAGGGGUUAGUUAGACACAAAUUUGUCAAUGGGGCCAUUAGGAUUCGAGUUAGGGAUCAAGGUGAACAUCCCUGAUCUUUGGCUCAAGGUCUGAAUUUCAGAAUUCUGAAAUUCAGAAUUCCCAAUGAGUCCCAACAAAAGAAGCUUGAUUUGGGGGUUUUCUUGAAUUAUUUUGGCUAAGCUUUCUCAAUCUAUCUUGUUGCUUAUCAAAUAUACUUUAACUUAUAUUAUUGGCUCAACUCAAAAUUUUAAACUUUUCAUUCCCUUUUGCUUAUUUUCUUGAAUUUUGUUCAUGGGGUUCACUUAGAGUUCUUAAUUAGGGUUGCACAUUCUUAUCUUUUCAAGGACUCAAUUGUUUUGGUCAUGACACUUUUAAACAUAUACUUGGUGAAUUCUUUGUCACUUAAGUUAUUUUGAUGCUCAUGCUUACUUUGGUUCACAGGAAGUAAUGGCUCUUGGUGUGGCUUUUUAAGAGAAACCCUAGGUGACACUGGGGUGUCACACCGAGCCCCUGGGUCGGGCGAGGCGGAGGUUGUUCGGCAGAGGCCAGGGCGGAGUCCGAGCCCUGGGGUCGGGCGAAGCGGAGUUCGUCGUCUUCUGGGGCUGAGCCCAAGUUCGAGCCCUGGGUCGGGCGGAGCGGAGUUCGCCGUCUUCCGGGACUUAGCCCGAGUCCGAGCCCUGGGUCGGGCGGAGCGGAGUUCGCCGUCUUCCGGGACUUAGCCCGAGUCCGAGCCCUGGGUCGGGCGGAGCGGAGUUCGCCGUCUUCCGGGGCUUAGCCCGAGUCCGAGCCCUGGGUCGGGCGGAGCGGAGUUCGCCGCCUUCCGGGACUUAGCCCGAGUCCGAGCCCUAGGUCGAGCGAAGCGGAGUUCGCCGUCUUCCGGGGCUUAGCCCGAGUCCGAGCCUUGGGUCGGGCGGAGCGGAGUUCCCUAUGGCGCCUUUGGCAAGGCCUGACUGCCUGUCAGUCUCACUCUGUCAAGUGGCACUGCAGUCGGAGUGGCGCAGGCGGCGCUGUCCUUCUGUCAGACCGGUCAGUGGAGCGGCGAAGUGACGGCGGUCACUUCGGCUCUGCCGGGGGGCGCGCGUCAGGAUAAAGGUGUCAGACUACCUUUGCGUUAAAUGCUCCUGCGACUCGGUCGGUCAGCGCGGCGAUUUAGUCAGGGUUGCUUCUUAGCGAAGGCAAAGCCUCGGGCGAGCCGAAGAUGUGUCCGCCGUUAAAGGGGGGCCUCGGGCGAGACGGAAAUCCCUCGGAGUCUGCUGCCCUUGCCCGAGGCUAGGCUCGGGCGAGGCGUGAUCGAGUCGCUCGUAUGGACUGAUCCCUGACUUAUUCGCACCCAUCAGGCCUCUGCAGCUUUAUGAUGAUGGGGGUUACCAGCUGAGAAUUAGGCGUCUUGAGGGUACCCCUAAUUAUGGUCCCCGGCAGUAGCCCCCGAGCCUCGAAGGGAGUGUUAGCACUCGCUUGGAGGCUUUCGUCGCACUUUUUUGCAAGGGGACCAGCCUUUCUCGGUUGCAUUUUGUUUCGGUGGGUGCGCGCUAGCGCACCCGCCGGGUGUAGCCCCCGAGGCCUCGGAGGAGUGGUUUCACUCCCCCGAGGUCUUAAUGCCUUGCGUAAUGCUUCAGCUGGUCUGGUUGUUCCCUCAUGCGAACUGGCCGUAGCCCAGGUGCACGGUCGGGGCCCAAGUUCUCGGGCUGGUAUGUUGACACUGUCCACGGUUCGGCCGGAGCCGGGUUUGCGAGAGCAGCCCCCGAGCCUCCGCACAGGGCGAGAGGGCGAUCAGGGACAGACUCGGCUUUUUUACAUACGCCCCUACGUCGCCUUUCCGCAAUGAGGAGGGGGGAGAGCGCCAUGUUACCCUCGAUGGGCACCGAACAUGGUAUCUCCGGUGAGCUGCAAGCGGGUAAUCCGAGUGGACGUCCGUGCCCCGUUCGUUGGGGGGCUAGGGGCCCAGAGGCACGCCCAAAAGUACCUGUGGGUGAUCUGCCGGACCCGGUCCCCUGGCGACGGGGUCCGAGGGCUCGAUGCCUCUCUCCGAUGGGAUUCCGUUACAAGAUCGCUCCCGCUGGUCUCGGAAAUGUCCUAGGGUACCUCGGGAGCGCAGCCCGAGCCUUGGUUAUGUAUCGAACGUACCCCUGGUCAUCCCUCGCUCGGCGUCUGAGGCGACUGUGAACCCUUCGGGGGCCAGCCUUCGAACCCCUGAUCAGUAAUGGGCGCGGAGCCCGAGUAGCCUGAGGCGGCCGUGGAGCCCUUCGGGGGGCUGGCCUUCGAACCUCUGACCAGUAGUGGGUGUAGGGCCCACGCGAUCUGAGGCGACUGUUGAACCCCUCGGGGGGCCAGCCUUCGAACCUCUGAUCAGUAGGGGGGCUCGGAGCCCGGUUCCUUCACAGGGAAGGAUCCUUUUUGGGGUAUCCCCCUUUCCCGGUCUCUGUUGCAAGAGAUAGAGAAAGAGGAAAAAAGGAAAAGGAUACGAAAUCGAACGACGUGGCGUACCUAUUUUGGCACGGUUAUUGCGGCGAAGGCGAAGCGUCGCCCGCUUCUCCUGCCAGAAGCGCCGCCUGUCCCGCCGCGGAGUUAAUGCGACGGGGCGAGUUGUUGGCAGGGCGGCCGUUGCGCGUGCGCGAGCCGUUCGAGGAACGGAUCACGGGCGCCCUGUCUUCACGCCGUGAGAGGGGGCUCUCUUGCUGCCCCCGGACGGGACGUGAGUCUGGCCGACGACGUGACCGCUGCUCCCGCCCGCCUGCCACCGUCAUUACUGCCGGCCCACUUUCGGCCGUAUUGACCGUCGCGCCAGGCUGGCGCUGUUGGGUCGUGCGCUGGGCCGCCUCGAGUCGCGGUAUUGGUUCCGCAACCGAAGAGGCGCGGUGGUGGCCCAAGUGGCGGUGCAGUUGCUUGCAUGCAGCAUCUGGCGCGCCGGUUGCGUGACACGUGGGCCUGGGCCUCCAUGCUGGCAUGUUGGGAGUCGGAGAAGCGCGUCCACCUGGCGCGAUUGCAUGCCUCCUGCAUGGCUGCCUGCCCCUUCCGCCCGUUGGUCUGGGCAAAAGUGGGGGGUCGCUUGUAACUGCUGGGCGGUUGUGUGCACCAUGCGCGGCGGUUUGGCUUCUUCUGCUCUGAGCCGGUUUGCAUGACACGCGGGACCCAGCCCCCGCGCCGCAGGGAAGGGCCUUGGAGCGUGUUGGAGAAGACUCAGCCCGUGACGUUUGGGGGCGCACGUAGGGAGAGUUGCCUUUAAAAGGAGGGCGACCCCUUUCGGAAGGCGACCAUGUCUUCUUGCUCCCUUAUGCGUCGCGUCUUUCCACCUUCCAAGCCCCCGGAUGGGGGGUACCCACCGUCUUUUCGCCUCAUCGUUGGAGGAACGCAACUCCGUGGGAGUUGGUACCUUUCAGCCAUCGUUCGGCUUCAAGGAUUUUCAUCGUGCAGCCCGGCUGCACCCCUCCACCGGUGGUCACCCAAGAUGGUGACCUCCAGCUUGAUGGUGGGGGAAAGCGAGCCGGGCUGCGGCCUCUCCCCCUCCCUCAGCCUCAAGGAUUUUCAUCACCAAGGCUGGGGAGGGGAGUGUGCCGAGUUGGGGUCGGCCCCUGCGUGGGCGGUGGCCCGCUCCUUCACUCAGUGAUGGGAGGGAGGAGCGGUUGUCGUCCGUGGCGCUGGCAGCUGCAGCGUGCCCGGCUUUCGGACGCGAGUGGCUUCGGAGCCGCUCGCGGCGCCGGCGUCUGCCACGGCAGCUGGAAGAGGUUCUUCCGCCGGCGUGAUAGCCAAGGCUGGCCACAGACCGACCUCUAACUCUACGGCCUUCUGCCCGUCCUUGCCUUACGAGUUUUGGCAUGGGCGGGGGCCUCCUAGCAGCAGCACCCGCCCUGAGGUCAGUGCUGCCGCUGUUCGGCCCCCUGGAGCAGAAGUCGUCGUCGUCGCUGCUGCUGGAGCAGGUGACGGCGCGCCGUUCGUCGGUCUUCCGUUGCUCCGCAGGCCUUCCCCCAUGGAGUGGGGUUGUUCGUACCUGCGGAGGGGGAACCGGAGUUCCGUUUGUAAUGGCACUUUGAAUGCCAGUGUUUUUGUUCAUUAUGGCUGUCGAGGCCUGAACAUGUAUGUAAUUUUGGCACGAAGCCGUGUUUUUUCCUCAUUUUCGAGCACUAAGACUCGCCUGUUGAUUAUUUGAACCGCUUCACCAAGCAUGAGUCGCCCCGUGUCAAGGUGACGAGUGAGGUAUCCGUAUCCCGGAGGCGUAGGAGUCCCUCGGCUCGAUCGGCCUUGUUGUCUGAGGCUCCUCUAGCUUAGUUAAAGAGACCCCUUGGCCGCACUUCGACGAGCCGAGGCCAGGGGUAGCGAUAUCAGCACGAACAGAGGCGGAGUUGGCUCGAAAAUGAAAACCUGGUUGGCCGGAGCCUAGUCGGGUUGUCCGUCAGCGGGACCGAUGCCGGAGUUGAUCAGCCGAGGCCUUAGACCGGGCUGGCGCCCUCGGAGGAUGGUUGGCCGAGGCCCCUGGGGUAACCGACCGAGCCGCCUGCUCGGGCCGGAUUCCCGGAGAAGUCCCUGGACCGCGUCGCCAUCCGAGGCCCGGUCGGACCUCACUGAAGGUGUCGUCGAUGCCGAGGGUGCUACAGCCCCCUUCCAGCGUGAAGACCCGAGCCUGCAGGAUCAGAUUGUCUUGUAGCGUGUGCCUUCUGCGGCCGCUGAGGCCAGAAAACACACCCUCGCUGCGUUGUAAAGCUGCGUCUCCUUUCCUCUUAUUUCGAGCAUCUGGACUUUUUUGUCGGUAACAGGGAUGUUUGUGCGAGCGAGAGUUGCUUCUCGCGGAAGGUGAUGAGUGAGGUAUCCGUAUCCCGGAGGCGUGGGAGUCCCUCGGCUCGGUCGGCCUUGCCGCUUACGCGUACUUUCACCCGUCCAUGAGGCCCUGUCACCGAUUCAGUCGAGAAGGCUCGAAGGAUCGCUUCGGCAGAAGAGCUUCCGAACGUAAAGACUUGUUCGGUCCGCGGAAUCACUUUAUCCGAACGCGAGUUACUUAUCGCAGAAGGUGAUGAGUGAGGUAUCCGUAUCCCGGAGGCGUAGGAGUCCCUCGGCUCGGUCAGCCUUGGCUACUUACGUGUACUCCGUCGUUUUCAGGAUCCGCUUUUCGAAGUAGUCAAAAAGCACGAAAGAUAUUCUGCUAAAAGAGAUCUUUUUUCGAGGAAAAUUUCGACGCAGAGGGGAUCCCCCCCUUUUAGCCCCCGAGGGAGGGUCGGGCUUUGCCGAGGCGAGGCCGACCCUUCCUUGAUGACUAAACUUUGCGUGGGUGCAAGGUAUAUGAACAACUUGAAAACAUCUUAAGGGUAGAAGCGACGUAGCUGUUGGAUGUUCCAAGCGUUGUCGUAGAUCUCGCCUUGAUUGUUGGCCAGCUUGUACGUUCCGGGCUUCAGAACUUUGGCGAUGACGAAUGGCCCCUCCCAGGGGGGCGUGAGCUUGUGCCUCCCUCGGGCGUCUUGCCGCAGCCGAAGCACCAGGUCGCCCAACUGGAGGUCUCGGGGCCGGACCCCUCGGGCGUGGUAGCGUCGCAGGGACUGCUGGUACCGCGCGGAGUGUAGUAAGGCCUUGUCCCGAGCCUCUUCAGCUGGUCCAGCGAUUCUUCUCAGCUAGCUUGGUUGCUUUGAUCGUUGUAGGCCCUCGUCCUCGGGGAGCCGUAUUCCAGGUCAGUGGGUAAGAUGGCCUCGGCCCCGUAGACCAGGAAGAACGGUGUGAAACCCGUGGCUCGGCUCGGCGUUGUCCUCAGGCUCCAGACCACCGAGGGGAGUUCCUUCAUCCAUCGCUUGCCGAACUUGUUGAGGUCGUUGUAAAUCCGGGGCUUGAGCCCUUGCAGAAUCAUGCCGUUGGCACGCUCUACUUGCCCAUUCGACAUGGGAUGAGCCACGGCGGCCCAAUCCACCCGGAUGUGGUUAUCCUCGCAAAAAUCCAAGAAUUUUCUGCCGGUGAACUGGGUACCGUUGUCGGUGAUGAUGGAGUUUGGGACCCCGAAGCGAUGGAUGAUGUUGGUGAAGAACGCCACCGCCUGCUCGGACCUGGUGCUGUUCAGGGGUCGGACCUCGAUCCACUUGGAGAAUUUGUCGAUGGCGACCAGCAGGUGCGUGUAGCCCCCGGGCGCCUUCUGCAAGGGACCGACGAGGUCCAGACCCCACACAGCAAAGGGCCAGAUGAUGGGUAUCGUCUGCAGAGCCUGAGCGGGCAGGUGGGUCUGCUUCACAUAGAAUUGGCAUCCUUCGCAGGUGCGGACAAUUCUAGUGGCGUCAGCCACCGCCGUUGGCCAGUAGAAGCCUUGCCGGAAAGCAUUCCCGACAAGGGCUCGAGGCGCUGCAUGAUGGCCGCAAGCCCCCGAGUGUAUUUCUUGCAGGAGUUCCUGACCUUCGGCGAUGGAGAUGCAUCGCUGGAGGAUGCCCGAUGGGCUGCGGUGGUAGAGCUCCUCCUCAUCGCCCAGCAAGACGAACGACUUGGCGCGUCGCGCUAUCCGCCGAGCCUCGGCUUGGUCGAGGGGUAGCUCUCCUUGGCGGAGAUAUUGCAGGUACGGGGUCGGCCAAUUUUGAUCAGGCAUGGCCCCGCUCUGCUCCUCCUCGACACGCAGUGCCUCGCCCUCGGGGGCCGAGGGUACCUCGGGCUGAACCGAGGGCGCCUCGGGCUGAGCCGAGGGUACCUCGUGCUGGACCGAGGGUGCCUCGGGCUCGGGCGUGUCAUUGAUCUUGACAGAGGGUUGAUGCAGAUCCUGAGAGAAGACGUCCGGGGGAACCGUCGUUCGCCCCGAGGCUAUUUUUGCCAGCUCGUCCACAGUCUCGUUGUAGCGCCGAGCGAUGUGGUUAAACUCGAGCCCGUAGAACUUGUCUUCCAGGCGCCAAACCUCAUCGCAGUAGGCCUCCAUCUUCGGGUCGCGGCAGUGGGAGUUCUUCAUGACUUGGUCGAUGACGAGCCGCGAGUCACCGCGGGCGUCGAGGCGUCUGACCCCUAGCUCGAUGGCGAUCUGCAACCCAUUGACCAGAGCCUCGUACUCAGCCACAUUGUUGGACGCCGGGAAAUGGAGGCGUAGCACGUAGCGUAGGUGUUUCUCGAGGGGCGAGAUGAAGAGCAGGCCCGCGCCGGCUCCCGUCUUCAUCAGCAACCCGUCGAAAAACAUGGUCCAGAGCUCCGGUUGGAUCGGAGCCGUCGGCAGCUGGGUGUCGACCCAUUCGGCUACGAAGUCCGCCAAUACCUGGGACUUGAUGGCCUUCCGAGGGGCGAACGAGAUUGCCUCGCCCAUGAUUUCCACCGCCCACUUUGCGAUCCUGCCCGAGGCCUCUCGGCACUGGAUGAUCUCCCCCAGGGGGAAGGAUGACACCACAGUUACCGGAUGAGACUCGAAGUAAUGUCGCAACUUUCGCCUCGUCAGGAUCACUGCAUAAAGCAGGUUCUGAACUUGUGGGUAGCGGAUCUUGGUUUCGGACAGUACCUCGCUGACGAAGUAAACUGGCCUCUGAACGGGCAAUGCAUGCCCCUCUUCUUGCCUCUCGACCACAAUCGCGGCGCUAACCCCUGAGUGGUCGCGGCGACGUAGACCAAGAGGGCUUCUCCAUCAGCUGGGGGUACCAAGAUAGGCGCCUUUGUAAGGAGCGCCUUCAGGUUCCCGAGAGCUUCCUCGGCCUCAGGGGUCCAAGCGAAACACUCGGCCUUCCUUAACAGGCGGUACAGAGGCAGACCUCUUUCGCCGAGGCGUGAGAUGAAGCGGCUCAGGGCCGCGAGGCAUCCCAUGACCCUCUGUACGCCUUUUAAGUCCUUGAUGGGCCCCAUGCUGGUGAUAGCUGCGAUCUUCUCCGGGUUGGCUUCGAUGCCUCGCUCAGAGACGAUGAACCCCAAGAGCAUGCCCCGGGGCACCCCGAAGACACACUUCUCGGGAUUGAGCUUGACGCCUUUCGCUUUGAGACAUCGGAAUGUCACUUCAAGGUCGGAGAGGAGGUCGGAAGCCUUCCUUGUCUUGACUACGAUGUCAUCGACGUAGGCCUCGACUGUGCGACCGAUGUGUUCGCCGAACACAUGGUUCAUGCACCACUGGUACAUCGCGCCCGCAUUCCUCAAACCGAACGACAUGGUGACAUAGCAGUACAUGCCGAAGGGCGUGAUGAAAGAAGUCGCGAGCUGGUCGGACUCUUUCAUCCGGAUUUGGUGAUACCCUGAGUAGGCAUCGAGGAAGGACAGGGUUUCGCACCCAACAGUGGAAUCCACGAUUUGAUCGAUGCGAGGCAGAGGGUAGGGAACCUUCGGACAUGCUUUGUUGAGACCAGUGUAGUCCACACACAUCCGCCAUUUCCCCCCUUUCUUUCUCACAAGCACAGGGUUGGCAAGCCAUUCGGGAUGGAAUACCUCUUUGAUGAACCCUGCUGCCAUUAGCUUGUGGAUCUCCUCGCCUAUCACUCUGCGCUUCUCCUCGUCGAAUCGGCGCAGAGGCUGCCUGACGGGUCGGGCUCCAGCCCGAAUAUCCAGCGAGUGCUCGGCGACAUCCCUCGGUAUGCCGGGCAUGUUCAAGGGACUCCACGCAAAGACGUCGGCGUCUGCGUGGAGAAAGUCGACGAGCACUACUUCCUAUUUGGGGUCGAGCCCGGAACCGAUCCGGAUCUGCUUGGAGGUGUCGCCACUGGGGUCGAGAGGGACGGCCUCAACCGUCUCCGCUGGCUCGAAGUUGCCGGCAUGACGCUUGACGUCUGUCACCUCUUUGGAGAGGUUCUCUAGGUCGGCGAUGAGGGCCUCGGACUCGGCGAGGGCCUCGGCGUACUCCACGCACUCCACGUCGCAUUCGAACGCGUGUUUGUACGUGGGGCCGAUGGUGAUGACCCCGUUGGGGCCCGGCAUCUUGAGCUUCAGGUAGGUGUAGUUGGGGACGGCCAUGAACUUCGCGUAGCAUGGCCUCCCCAGUACCGCGUGGUAGGUUCCUCGGAACCCGACCACCUCGAACGUCAAAGUCUCCCUUCGGAAGUUGGAGGGCGUUCCGAAGCAGACGGGAAGGUCGAGUCGUCCGAGGGGCUGGACGCGCUUCCCAGGAAUGAUCCCGUGGAAGGGCGCAGCGCCUGCUCGGACGGAGGACAGAUCAACGCGCAGGAGCCUGAGGGUCUCGGCGUAGAUGAUGUUGAGGCAGCUGCCCCCGUCCAUCAGGACCUUGGUGAGCCUGACGUCGUCGACGAUGGGGUCGACGACGAGCGGGUAUUUCCCCGGGCUCGGCACGUGGUCGGGGUGGUCAGCUUGGUCGAAGGUGAUGGGCUUGUCGGACCAGUCUAGGUAGACUGGCGCCGCCACCUUCACCGAGCAGACCUCCCGACGCUCUUGCUUGCGAUGCCGAGCCGAGGCAUUCGCCGCAUGCCCACUGUAGAUCAUGAAGCAGUCGCGGACCUCGGGGAACUCUCCUGCUUGGUGAUCUUCCUUUUUGUCGUUGUCGUGGGCCCUGCCACCCUCCGCGGGUGGCCUGGCCCUAUGGAAGUGGCGCCGAAGCAUGACGCACUCCUCAAGGGUGUGCUUGACGGGCCCCUGAUGAUAGGGGCACGGCUCCUUGAGCAUCUUGUCGAAGAGGUUAGCACCUCCGGGGGGCUUCCGAGGGUUCUUGUACUCGGCGGCGGCGACAAGGUCCGCGUCGGCGGCGUCGCGUUUCGCUUGCGACUUCUUCUUGCCUUUCUUCUUGGCGCCGCGCGGAGUAGACGCCUCGGGAGCCUCUUCCGAUGGGCGGCCCUGGGGCUGCUUGUCCUUUCGGAAGAUAGCCUCGACCGCCUCCUGGCCAGAGACGAACUUGGUGGUGAUGUCCAUCAGCUCGCUCGCCCUGGUGGGGGUCUUGCGACCCAACUUACUCACCAGGUCGCGGCAGGUGGUGCCGGCAAGGAACGCGCCGAUGACAUCCGAGUCGGUGAUGUUGGGCAGCUCGGUGCGCUGCUUCGAGAAUCGCCGGAUGUAGUCCCGAAGAGACUCUCCCGGCUGUUGCCGGCAGCUUCGGAGGUCCUAGGAAUUCCCGGGGCGCACGUACGUGCCCUGGAAAUUGCCGGCGAAGGCUUGGACCAAAUCAUCCCAGUUGGAGAUCUGCCCCGGAGGUAGGUGCUCCAACCAGGCGCGAGCAGUGUCGGAGAGGAACAGGGGGAGGUUGCGGAUGAUGAGGUUGUCGUUGUCCGUUCCACCCAGUUGGCAGGCCAGGCGGUAGUCUGCGAGCCACAGUUCCGGUCUCGUUUCCCCCGAGUACUUCGUGAUAGUAGUCGGGGGUCGGAACCGGGUCGGGAACGGCGCCAGUCGGAUGGCCCGACUGAAGGCCUGCGGACCGGGUGGUUCGGGCGAGGGACUCCGAUCCUCCCCGCUGUCGUAGCGUCCCCCACGCCUGGGGUGGUAGCCUCGGCGCACCCUUUCGUCGAGGUGGGCCCGACGGUCGCGACGAUGGUGCUCGUUGCCGAGGUGGCCCGGGGCCGCAGGCGCGGUGUUGCGCGUGCGCUCGGUGUAGACCGAGGCUUCCCGCAUGAAUCGGGAAGUCGCGGCAUGAGGUUCCGAGGGGUAUCCCUGCCUCCGGGAGGCAGUGCUCUCGGCCCGUCGGACCGCAGCGCCUUCCAGGAGAUUCUUGAGCUCUCCUUGGAUUCUCCGACCCUCGGCGGUUGAUGGCUCCGGCAUCGCGCGGAGGAGCAUCGCUGCGGCUGCCAGGUUCUGACCGACCCCACUGGAUGCAGGUGGCGGCCUGACCCUGACGUCGUUGGCGACGCGGUGCUGGAAACCCUGGGGCAGGUGACGUAUUUCUCCGGCUGGGGGUUGGCCCGCCCAUACCUGCCCGACGUCCCGGCGGAUCGACUCAAGCGCUCUUGCUCCCUCGUCGAGCCUGGCCUGCGCCCCGCGGACUUGCUCGAGCUGUGGGUCGUGACCCCCCGCCGGAACGGGGACCACAGCUAGCUCCCGCGGGAUGUCAGCGCGAGGCACCGGCCUAGGGAGAUCACCGUCCUCCGGCAUGCCGAGAUGGUUGCCUUCGGAGGGAUCCCCUAGCUCGACGUGGAAACAUCCGCGGCUUGGGCCGCAGUCCUCGUCGUCAAGGCUGCGGCUACCGUCGGAACAGUCGGAGAGGCAGUAGUCACAUGCGGUCAUAAAGUCCCGCAUGGCACUGGGGUUGCCAAAUCCAGAGAAAUCCCAACAGAUGCUGGGAUCGUCAUCUUCCUCGGACCCAGAGGGCCCGUAGGUCGAGACGUCCGUCAAUCGGUCCCAAGGCGACCGCAUACGAAACCCCAGAGGGGUUGCACUCGCCUCAACGAGAGCGCCCGCCAAAGCGAGGUCGCUAGGCGGGUUGAGGCCGAGUCGAAAUGACGUAGGAUGGGAAUCAGUCAGUACCUUUUGGUCGACGAGGAGCGACAUAGUCACGUCGGGGACUGAUUGCACCGUCGUCUUAGGUACGAGGGCGACGUCCUGCAGGCUCUCCGCGAGCGCGCUGGCGUCGUCCACUUGCUCGGGAUUGGUGUGUCGCGGGGGGACGGCGCUCGCCUCCGUCUCAAACGCGAGGUCGUCGCCCGACGCGCCCCCCGUUGGGGCGCUGGGGACGUCGAUUCGCUCGACAGCCGACGAAGCGCGGCCUCCCGCUUGGCCUUGGUUGCCCCGCCUCCUCCUCCGUUGGCGGGGGAGAGGACGGGGCGAGCUCGAAUGUUGUUCUUCCACCACGCGGGGAAGAUGUCGUCGAUUCCGCCGCCGGCGGGCGGGUUGUCGGCCGCCAUUGUCGUUGUCGCGCGGCGGUGGAAGGAGUAUCAUGUCGUAGCUGCCGUCGAAGGACAUGAACUCAAGACUCCUGAAACGGAGCACCGUCCCGGGCCGAAGAGGUUGCUGGAGACUGCCCAUCUGGAGCUUGACGGGAAGUUGUUCGUCAGCACGCAGCAGGCCCCUACCUGGCGCGCCAACUGUCGGCGUCUCGAGACCGGGGGGUCCCUAAGCCGACGAGUGAGUGUGCCGCGUGCCCCAGCCCAGAUGGGUCGAGCGCGUGGGCGAGCGCGAAGGGGGAAGCGAGGUGGCCGGAGACGGGCGUGAGAGAGGUGGAAAUCCCGCGGCCUUCGUGUUCGUCCCGCGCCCAGGUCGGGUGCGCUUGCAGUAGGGGGUUACAAGCGUCCACGCGGGUGAGGGAAGCGAGCGGCCCCAAGAGAGCGCAUGUCCCGUCCUCAUCCCCGCGCGGCCAACCUUCUCUAAGAAGGCCCUGGUCCUUCCUUUUAUAGGCGUAAGGAGAGGAUCCAGGUGUACAAUGGGGAUGUAGCAGAGUGCUACAUGUCUAGCGGAGGGAGAGCUAGCGCCCUAAGUACAUGCCAAUGUGGCAGCCGGAGAGAUCUUGGCACCCUGCUAGUGUGAUGUCGUGGCUGUCGGAGGAGCAAUGGAGCCUGGCGGAGGGACAACUGUCGGAGCGGUCGAGUCCUUGCUGACGUCCCCCUGCUUCCGUAAGGGAGCUGAGAGCCGCCGUCGUCACAGGGCUUGCGGGGCGCCAUCAUUGCCUAUCUGGCGGAGCUAGCCAGAUGGGACACCGGUCUUGUUCUCUGCGGCCCGAGUCGGCUCGGGGUAGGGUGAUGAUGGCGCUUCCUGUUGACGUGGCGGGCCUGUGCCCUAGGUUGGGCGACGUGGAGGUUCCUCCGAAGCCGAGGUCGAGUCUGUCUUCCAUGGCCGAGGCCGAGCCCGAGCCCCUGGGUCGGGCGAGGCGGAGGUUGUUCGGCAGAGGCCAGGGCGGAGUCCGAGCCCUGGGGUCGGGCGAAGCGGAGUUCGUCGUCUUCUGGGGCUGAGCCCAAGUCUGAGCCCUGGGUCGGGCGGAGCGGAGUUCGCCAUCUUCCGGGACUUAGCCCGAGUCCGAGCCCUGGGUCGGGCGGAGCGGAGUUCGCCGUCUUCCGGGGCUUAGCCCGAGUUCGAGCCCUGGGUCGGGCGGAGCGGAGUUCGCCGUCUUCCGGGCCUUAGCCCGAGUCCGAGCCCUGGGUCGGGCGGAGCGGAGUUCGCCGUCUUCCGGGGCUUAGCCCGAGUCCGAGCCCUGGGUCGGGCGGAGCGGAGUUUCAUAUGGCGCCUUUGGCAAGGCCUGACUGCCUGUCAGUCUCACUCUGUCAAGUGGCACUGCAGUCGGAGUGGCGCAGGCGGCGCUGUCCUUCUGUCAGACCGGUCAGUGGAGCGGCGAAGUGACGACGGUCACUUCGGCUCUGCCGGGGGGCGCGCGUCAGGAUAAAGGUGUCAGGCUACCUUUGCGUUAAAUGCUCCUGCGACUCGGUCGGUCGGCGCAGCGAUUUAGUCAGGGUUGCUUCUUAGCGAAGGCAAGGCCUCGGGCGAGCCGGAGAUGUGUCCGCCGUUAAAGGGGGGCCUCGGGCGAGACGGAAAUCCCUCGGGGUCGGCUGCCCUUGCCCGAGGCUAGGCUCGGGCGAGGCGUGAUCGAGUCGCUCGUAUGGACUGAUCCCUGACUUAAUCGCACCCAUCAGGCCUCUGCAGCUUUAUGCGGAUGGGGGUUACCAGCUGAGAAUUAGGCGUCUUGAGGGUACCCCUAAUUAUGGUCCCCGACAAAUAUAAAACGAACUAAAGUCCAUCCUUGGCGCCAUAAAGUCAACUGAGAGACGCCACCUAGAUCAAAUCAAACUCCUCGUUGUGUGGCUCCUCUUGAACCACCUGUUCUUCUCCUGUGGGGGGGUGUAAGACAGCAAGGGUGAGCUCACACAUGUUCAUCGGUCAACAAGUUGUGGGGAAUAAUGUGGCAUAAACUCACCAAACAUGGGAGAUCAUGUGAAGUGUAAGGCUUACCAAAGAGAAUGGUUAAAUCUGAGCAUUGCUUUUAAAGUUGGUCAAAAUUUUAUUAGCAAUUACUAGAUGUAAGUAAAUACCAAACCAUAAUAACAAUAAUAGAACAAAAUUAAUAAUAAACCCAUGCAAAUGCAAAUGACAAAUUGAAUUUAAGUUACAUAAAUUUAUCAUGCGAGAGUCCUGAGCUGCUCUUGACCGUGAGCUCGGCUAGUAUACCAGUUUUACACUCUGCAGAGGUUGUACCCUGUACCCACAAGUCAUGUAUCCCAUGUCGCCAGGGUUAGCUAGACCCUUAGACAGUACCGAGGUGAAUGGCUAGGGAUCCACUACGAGGCCUUUACAAAGUUCAACUAGCUUCCGAAAACCCGCUACAGUUUAUGGGAAGAGCACUUGCAAGAAUCCCUCGUCUGACCACCAUCGUAGCAAAAUCAACCCGAGAACCUCCCUGCAUGCAACUCCCCUACUGCCCUUUCCCCUUUUGGGUAAGGUAGACUUCCACUAGCUUUCCUAAUUAGUCAGCCAAGGGCGUCCCGUUCCACCCUUGUGGUGGCACGUGUUUCUCAAGUUAAGCUCUAUGUUUCAAUUAAAGAUAAUGAUCUUGACAUGAACAUAAAUAACAUAACAGAAUAAUUGGAACAUGGACAUAAUGAAAUAUUAACCCAAAACCAUAUAAAGCAAUGGCAAAACUACAAGUGAUUCAGAGGUAAACAAGGUAAAAGAUAAUCAGGCUAGGAUGACCUAUUGGGUCCCAUCAAACCUAUGCAUUGAAUAGUGAUAAUAAAGAACAUUAUUGGGUAAUAAAUGUGGUCAAGGGCAUAACUUGCCUGUCACUUGAGAUUCCAGGUACCAGAAUGAUUCUUCAGAUCCUCGUGACCUUACUGCUAGUCGUAGCAAUACAAACAGACAUGGUAUAGACAAAAUUAACAUCACACCAAACAUAAGAACAUACUGCAUAAUAAUGAUCUACGCGUUGCUACGAGAUCGUGGGAACGAGAACCACUAAAAUCGAAGUUACGUUAAGGAGUUAUAAUUUUAUAGAAGAUUUAUGUGAUUAAAAUAUUAAACUAUAUUAUAAAUUAGUUAAUAUAAAUCAUAUAAGAGCUUAUUCUAUAUAUAAUUAUCUCUACUUUAAUCUAAGUUAUAAAUUGACCAUAGAUCAUAUUCUAGUAGAUUAUAAUGAUAAGCAAUUUAACCAGACUAACCAACAUAAAUUAAAUACUUAUCUAAUUAUAAAAUAAUGAGACAUGGUAUAGUAAAUGUUGUUAUCGCAUAGUAAAUAUUUGUACGAGACUAACACAACUUGAAUGGAUCAAAUCAGAGUUAUAGAUUUUAAGUUAUGAAUUUCUAAAGAUUCUAUGUGUUUUGUACAAGAUUAAAUAGGAUAUAAAUUUUAAUGUGACUUUCAUGUCAAAACAGUGGCACUAAUUGAUAAACAAUAAUAUUAUAAAAUUAUAGGAACUAGAAUGAAUUAAUUUGGAGCUACAAUGGAUUUUCUAUGAAUUAAAUAAGUUUCUGGAAUUAUUUUAACACAAAAAAUCAUUUUCUGAUUGAAUUUCUGAAUUUUCAUAUGAUUCUUGACUACACGCCAAUUCCCAGAGAAGACAGGGGCCACGGUGUAAAAUGUUCUAAGGCUCAGUCUAAGUGUAGAGUGGGCUGUGGGUUAAUUAUCGAAGACUUGAGGGGCUCAUACGAAAAAGACGCACGACGAAGGGGUACAGUUAUAUCCUUGCUGUUGGAUCACCGAUCUACGGAUCAGAUUAGAUCCAAACCUUUCUGAACCGGUACACUAUCCUAUCCGCGGGAUCCGACAACAAGGGCCAGGAUUAAACGACGCUCCUUACGAAUCGGUGCAGAGACCCAGCCGUCGGAUCAGAGAACCACGACCCAGAUCGCGAAGUAUCCCGGCUGGUUCUUAACGGUCCGAUCUAGAUUGAGGGUCCGGAUUUAAACACCGAAGGGGUAAGACUCAUUCUAAUCUCCACCUCUCACUCACAAUUCGACGACGCGCCUAUGUUCUUCCACCACGCGAUGACCAGAGAAGGUGUAGCAGAUGCCCGUGGCGGCUCUCCACCAGCGUGCGGCGAAUCCGGCGACCCGGUACCCGAAUCCUAUGGACGAUGGGCGUUAUACACUAGAUAGAACAAGGCGAUCGUCAUGGAAGGUAGCUCACCAAUGAUGGCAUCCGGCAGAGUCCCGUCGUCGAGGAAGGAUGGCCAUGGCGGAAAUCCCCAGCUCUGGCGAACAAUUCACAUCUUGCCCGCUAUACACCGUGACCUCCACCACCACACACACGCUCGAUUUGAUCCCGCGAAGCUUCAAAGCCAUCUGCCGGUGCUGGAGCGACAACGCUCAAUGAUUUCGCCCGUGGCGGAUCAAUGAUGGCGGCUGCACUCUCCCCUCUGUCCCGCUACACAGGGCGUCUUGGUGGUUCUCAACUCGACUUCGUGGCUGCGCUGGUUUCGCGGGGCCGCAACGGAGAGGUGGUUGUGGAUUAUAUGCAGGUGAGGGCCAAUGACCGAGUCGGCUGGGUCAAGCAACCCGAUCGAUCUGUUAUAGGGAGAAGAAGGUCUGAUGAAGUGGUCCAAGGUGUCAACGACCCGGGUGGAGAAGAGCGCGCGCCACAUGAUUGACGGGCGGGCUCCACCCGUUCGGCACACCGAUGUGGCAGGAUCGACGGAAUUGAGUUGGGCUCGGUGGCAACUGGCUAGGCC
Molecule: long non-coding RNA, 20331 nt
Filed under: Zea mays
Lineage: Eukaryota; Viridiplantae; Streptophyta; Magnoliopsida; Poales; Poaceae
Description: long non-coding RNA (ZMAY_LNC003198)
Source: RNAcentral